Podarcis muralis (Common wall lizard) is the source of this 903-nucleotide long non-coding RNA. RefSeq lists it as uncharacterized. Lineage: Eukaryota; Metazoa; Chordata; Lepidosauria; Squamata; Lacertidae. The record is from RefSeq and is a predicted model, not a curated record.
CAUGAGAAAUGUGGGUUGAGGAAAGGGGGGGGGAUUCUUUAUGAGACAGAUUAGGGCAUCUGCUCCUCCCUUCCCUCAGAUUCUUAGAAGGCAUUCCUUUUGCUGUAUCUUUGGCGCCAUUUUCAUCCAGGAAACUUACUUGUUUAUUGUGUUACAGGCCAUGCUUUUUUCAGAUGAAGUUUUAAAAGGGGCUUACUUUAAAUAAACAAACAAAUUAACAACAAUAACAUACGAUGUAAAAAUGAUGCUGCAAAUGAAAAACACCACCACACAUGCAAUAAAAACAGCAGACUCAGGAGGCAAUCCUGUGCGUCACAGGUGACUAAUCCCUAGCCCAGGGGUCUGACGUGACAAGCAAGUCUUUCUGCCUCCCCCAGACCCCUCCAAAUUUGCUGGUGGUGGCGGCGACAAAGAAAAUGUAAUGUAGACAUGGGCACUACUUCCCAUGCUGUUUUGGAGGAUUGCCCAACCCCUUAGAGCAAAUUGAGAGCAGGGGCACAAGGGACUGCACGGAGAAGGAGAAAUCAGCAAAAAUCACCCCACCUCUUUUCACUUGCAGGAGCAUCCGGUUCAUUGAGAUCUGCUCGGCACAAUUUAUAAUUUAUAAUGUUUUGUUAUCCGUUUCCAUUUACCAAGAGUAUUUGCCUUGUUACUUGCCUCUGUAUAUGCCUGACAAGAAGUAAACCUUUUUUAAGACAUAAUUUUGUGAUUUAGAAUCCUAGAAUUAUAAUAUUUUUUUAUUAUAUGGGGUGUAAUCAUAGAAUUGUAAAGUUGAAAGGGAUCAGUACCAUGCUGUAACCAACUGAGCUAAAACUUCUAUGAUAUUUAAAUAUGUACACUGACAAUUCAAAAAGUAUUAGAGAUCAACCUUAUGAGAGAAAAUAAUUAAAUCUAAAACUAUUA